This 422-nucleotide ribosomal RNA is filed under the name Rhinella lescurei. Its description in RNAcentral is "partial large subunit ribosomal RNA". It matches the Rfam family "Bacterial large subunit ribosomal RNA", at positions 1835 to 2457 of the family's 2925-position model. The record is from RNAcentral. RNAcentral also lists the same sequence under 1 other name. Lineage: Eukaryota; Metazoa; Chordata; Amphibia; Anura; Bufonidae.
CUUGAAUUUUAUAAGAGGUCCAGCCUGCCCAGUGACUCUGUUCAACGGCCGCGGUAUCCUAACCGUGCGAAGGUAGCGUAAUCACUUGUUCUUUAAAUGAGGACUAGUAUGAAUGGCACUACGAGGGUUAUACUGUCUCCUUUUUCUAAUCAGUGAAAUUAAUUUUCCCGUGAAGAAGCGGGAAUAUGACUAUAAGACGAGAAGACCCUAUGGAGCUUUAAACAACCCAGCAAUUACUUCUAAAAAUUUUAAAUUUCAGAAUAUUCAUUUUUUUAAGUAAUAUGUCUGCAAGUUUUUGGUUGGGGUGACCAUGGAGAAUAACUUAACCUCCAUAUUGAAUGAACUCCAUUCUAAGCUGAAAAUUACCAAUUAAAGCAUCAACACACUGACAUUUAUUGACCCAAUAUAUUUGAUCAACGAAC